CAAUAGCGUAUAUUAAAGUUGUUGCGGUUAAAAAGCUCGUAGUUGGAUUUCUGCUGAGAACGACCGGUCCGCCCUUUGGGUGUGUAUCUGGCUCUUUCUUGGCAUCUUCUUGGUGAACGUUGCUGCACUUGACUGUGUGGAGCGCUACCCAGGACUUUUACUUUGAGGAAAUUAGAGUGUUUCAAGCAGGCAUACGCCUUGAAUACAUUAGCAUGGAAUAAUAAGAUAGGACCUCGGUUCUAUUUUGUUGGUUUCUAGAGCUGAGGUAAUGAUUAAUAGGGAUAGUUGGGGGCAUUCGUAUUUAACUGUCAGAGGUGAAAUUCUUGGAUUUGUUGAAGACGGACUACUGCGAANGNAUUUGCNAAGGAUGUUUNCAUUG
RNAcentral lists this ribosomal RNA (379 nucleotides) under uncultured eukaryote. Its description in RNAcentral is "partial 18S ribosomal RNA". It matches the Rfam family "Eukaryotic small subunit ribosomal RNA", at positions 592 to 975 of the family's 1831-position model. The record is from RNAcentral.